UACGUAGGGGGCAAGCGUUGUCCGGAUUUAUUGGGCGUAAAGCGCACGCAGGCGGUCUGUUCAGUUUGGAGUGACAGUUCCUGGCUCAACCGGGAAAGUGCUUCGAAUACUGGCGGACUUGAGGGCUUCAGAGGGACACGGAAUUCCGGGUGGAGUGGUGAAAUGCGUAGAGAUCCGGAAGAACACCAAGGCGAAGGCAGUGUCCUGGCUCGUUUCUGACGCUCAAGCACGAAAGCGAGGAGAGCGAACAGG
This 252-nucleotide ribosomal RNA is filed under the name uncultured bacterium. RNAcentral's name for it is "partial 16S ribosomal RNA". It matches the Rfam family "Bacterial small subunit ribosomal RNA", at positions 524 to 776 of the family's 1533-position model. The record is from RNAcentral.